GACGAACGCUGGCGGCGUGCCUAAUACAUGCAAGUAGAACGCACAGUUUAUACCGUAGCUUGCUACACCAUAGACUGUGAGUUGCGAACGGGUGAGUAACGCGUAGGUAACCUGCCUGGUAGCGGGGGAUAACUAUUGGAAACGAUAGCUAAUACCGCAUAAUAUUAAUUAUUGCAUGAUAAUUAAUUGAAAGGUGCAAUUGCACCACUACCAGAUGGACCUGCGUUGUAUUAGCUAGUAGGUGAGGUAACGGCUCACCUAGGCGACGAUACAUAGCCGACCUGGGAGGGUGGUCGGCCACACUGGGACUGAGACACGGCCCAGACUCCUACGGGAGGCAGCAGUAGGGAAUCUUCGGCAAUGGACGAAAGUCUGACCGAGCAACGCCGCGUGAGUGAAGAAGGUUUUCGGAUCGUAAAGCUCUGUUGUAAGAGAAGAACGGGUGUGAGAGUGGAAAGUUCACACUGUGACGGUAUCUUACCAGAAAGGGACGGCUAACUACGUG
This 505-nucleotide ribosomal RNA is filed under the name uncultured bacterium. RNAcentral describes it as "partial 16S ribosomal RNA". It matches the Rfam family "Bacterial small subunit ribosomal RNA", at positions 28 to 507 of the family's 1533-position model. The record is from RNAcentral.